RNAcentral lists this ribosomal RNA (157 nucleotides) under uncultured bacterium. RNAcentral describes it as "partial 16S ribosomal RNA". It matches the Rfam family "Bacterial small subunit ribosomal RNA", at positions 383 to 530 of the family's 1533-position model. The record is from RNAcentral.
CUGAUGCAGCCAUGCCGCGUGUGUGAAGAAGGCCUUCGGGUUGUAAAGCACUUUCAGCGAGGAGGAAAGGUCAGUAGCUAAUAUCUGCUGGCUGUGACGUUACCCGCAGACGAAGCACCGGUUAACUCCGUGCCAGCAGCCGCGCCAAUAAUUUCUG